AACGAACGCUGGCGGCAUGCCUAACACAUGCAAGUCGAACGAAGCCUUCGGGCUUAGUGGCGCACGGGUGCGUAACACGUGGGAAUCUGCCCUUUGGUUCGGAAUAACAGUUAGAAAUGACUGCUAAUACCGGAUAAUGACGUAAGUCCAAAGAUUUAUCGCCGAAGGAUGAGCCCGCGUAGGAUUAGGUAGUUGGUGGGGUAAUGGCCCACCAAGCCGACGAUCCUUAGCUGGUCUGAGAGGACUAUCAGCCACACUGGGACUGAGACACGGCCCAGACUCCUACGGGAGGCAGCAGUGGGGAAUAUUGGACAAUGGGCGAAAGCCUGAUCCAGCAAUGCCGCGUGAGUGAUGAAGGCCUUAGGGUUGUAAAGCUCUUUUACCAGGGAUGAUAAUGACAGUACCUGGAGAAUAAGCUCCGGCUAACUCCGUGCCAGCAGCCGCGGU
RNAcentral lists this ribosomal RNA (447 nucleotides) under uncultured bacterium. Its description in RNAcentral is "bacterial SSU rRNA". It matches the Rfam family "Bacterial small subunit ribosomal RNA", at positions 29 to 521 of the family's 1533-position model. The record is from RNAcentral.